UACGAAGGGGGCUAGCGUUGCUCGGAAUCACUGGGCGUAAAGGGUGCGUAGGCGGGUUUUUAAGUCAGAGGUGAAAUCCUGGAGCUCAACUCCAGAACUGCCUUUGAUACUGAGAAUCUUGAGUACGGGAGAGGUGAGUGGAACUGCGAGUGUAGAGGUGAAAUUCGUAGAUAUUCGCAAGAACACCAGUGGCGAAGGCGGCUCACUGGCCCGUUACCGACGCUGAGGCACGAAAGCGUGGGGAGCAAACAGG
This 253-nucleotide ribosomal RNA is filed under the name uncultured bacterium. Its description in RNAcentral is "partial 16S ribosomal RNA". It matches the Rfam family "Bacterial small subunit ribosomal RNA", at positions 524 to 776 of the family's 1533-position model. The record is from RNAcentral.